This 905-nucleotide ribosomal RNA is filed under the name uncultured archaeon. Its description in RNAcentral is "bacterial SSU rRNA". It matches the Rfam family "Archaeal small subunit ribosomal RNA", at positions 10 to 921 of the family's 1478-position model. The record is from RNAcentral.
GAUCCUGCCGGACCUGACUGCUAUCGGAUUGAUACUAAGCCAUGCGAGUCAUUGUAGCAAUACAAGGCAGACGGCCCAGUAACGCGUAGUCAAUCUACCCUAUGGACGGGAAUAACCUCGGGAAACUGAGAAUAAUGCCCGAUAGAACAUUAUGCCUGGAAUGGUUUAUGUUUCAAAUGAUUUAUCGCCAUAGGAUGGGACUGCGGCCUAUCAGUUUGUUGGUGAGGUAAUGGCCCACCAAGACUAUUACAGGUACGGGCUCUGAGAGGAGUGGCCCGGAGAUGGGUACUGAGACACGGACCCAGGCCCUAUGGGGCGCAGCAGGCGAGAAAACUUUGCAAUGUGCGAAAGCACGACAAGGUUAAUCCGAGUGGUUUCUGCUAAAGAAACCUUUUGUCAGUCCUAGAAACACUAACGAAUAAGGGGUGGGCAAGUUCUGGAGUCAGCCGCCGCGGUAAAACCAGCACCUCAAGUGGUCAGGAUGAUUAUUGGGCCUAAAGCAUCCGUAGCCCGUUUUGUAAGUUUUCGGUUAAAUCCAUGCGCUUAACGUAUGGGCUGCCGGGAAUACUGCAUAACUAGGAAGUGGGAGAGGUAGACGGUACUCGGUAGGAAGGGGUAAAAUCCUUUGAUCUAUUGAUGACCACCUGUGGCGAAGGCGGUCUACCAGAACACGUUCGACGGUGAGGGAUGAAAGCUGGGGGAGCAAACCGGAUUAGAUACCCGGGUAGUCCCAGCUGUAAACUAUGCAAACUCAGUGAUGCAUUGGCUUGUGGCCAAUGCAGUGCUGCAGGGAAGCCGUUAAGUUUGCCGCCUGGGAAGUACGUACGCAAGUAUGAAACUUAAAGGAAUUGGCGGGGGAGCACCACAAGGGGUGAAGCCUGCGGUUCAAUUGGAGUCAACGCCGG